GGCAUGGUGGUGUAGUGGUUAGCACUGCCACCUCACAGCAAGAGGGUCGUGGGUUCGAAUCCGGCCUGUGGCC
This is a non-coding RNA of Gymnothorax javanicus (giant moray), 73 nucleotides long. The record is from the annotation of a GenBank genome assembly. NCBI's taxonomy places the organism in Eukaryota, Metazoa, Chordata, Actinopteri, Anguilliformes, Muraenidae.